Molecule: long non-coding RNA, 518 nt
Filed under: Danio rerio (zebrafish)
Lineage: Eukaryota; Metazoa; Chordata; Actinopteri; Cypriniformes; Danionidae
Description: long non-coding RNA NONDRET007355
Source: RNAcentral
GGGAUCAACCUGUUACUCACCUCAAGCCCCGCCCACGUGCGCGCCUUCAGCCACACUCGAGUACCGCGUUACUGGAAAAUCAAACAAAAAAGCGUUAAUAUUCUCUGUUUACACUCGAUACAGCGUGUAAAUAUGAGUCCAGCGUAUAUUCUCCUCCUACACUGUACUCACAAACUGAAGAAUGAGUGAACUUCGGCAGUUUGGACCGUGAGCAGCUCCGCCGCCAGACUUCAGGAUUCCAGCAUCAGGGACAAGCACGUGCUUUAUUUUCAAUGGCGUCCGUAUUUUAUAUUUGUUUAUUUAUUUUAUUUAUUUUGAGUAUCAGACUGUGUAUUAUGUUGUAAACGCGCUGCGGUUGUAAUGAAGAGACCACAUGGAAACGUUUGGCGGAUGGUGACGUCAGCUGUACGUUCCUGGACCUGACAGGCUGACUAUUUUCCUGGUUUCUGGAAACAUCCUUCGCUGGACCCCGUACAAGGAAAAGGGAGGAGCAGCCGAGGUGGACGGGGGGAUUCUUC